Molecule: ribosomal RNA, 484 nt
Filed under: uncultured bacterium
Lineage: Bacteria
Description: partial 16S ribosomal RNA
Rfam family: Bacterial small subunit ribosomal RNA
Source: RNAcentral
AUUGAACGCUGGCGGCAGGCCUAACACAUGCAAGUCGAGCGGCUGAAGGGAGCUUGCUCCUGGAUUCAGCGGCGGACGGGUGAGUAAUGCCUAGGAAUCUGCCUGGUAGUGGGGGAUAACUUCCGGAAACGGGCGCUAAUACCGCAUACGUCCUGAGGGAGAAAGUGGGGGAUCUUCGGACCUCACGCUAUCAGAUGAGCCUAGGUCGGAUUAGCUAGUUGGUGGGGUAACGGCCUACCAAGGCGACGAUCCGUAACUGGUCUGAGAGGAUGAUCAGUCACACUGGAACUGAGACACGGUCCAGACUCCUACGGGAGGCAGCAGUGGGGAAUAUUGGACAAUGGGCGAAAGCCUAAUCCAGCCAUGCCGCGUGUGUGAAGAAGGUCUUCGGAUUGUAAAGCACUUUAAGUUGGGAGGAAGGGCAGUAAGUUAAUACCUUGCUGUUUUGACGUUACCAACAGAAUAAGCACCGGCUAACUUCGUG